CCUACGGGGGGCAGCAGUGAGGAAUAUUGGUCAAUGGACGAGAGUCUGAACCAGCCAAGUAGCGUGAAGGAUGACUGCCCUAUGGGUUGUAAACUUCUUUUAUAUGGGAAUAAAACGUUCCACGUGUGGGAUUUUGUAUGUACCAUAUGAAUAAGGAUCGGCUAACUCCGUGCCAGCAGCCGCGGUAAUACGGAGGAUCCGAGCGUUAUCCGGAUUUAUUGGGUUUAAAGGGAGCGUAGGUGGAUUGUUAAGUCAGUUGUGAAAGUUUGCGGCUCAACCGUAAAAUUGCAGUUGAGACUGGCAGUCUUGAGUACAGUAGAGGUGGGCGGAAGUCGUGGUGUAGCGGUGAAAUGCUUAGAUAUCACGAAGAACUCCGAUUGCGAAGGCAGUUCACUGGACUGCAACUGACACUGAGGCUCGAAAGUGUGGGUAUCAAACAGGAUUAGAUACCCGUGUAGUC
Molecule: ribosomal RNA, 460 nt
Filed under: uncultured bacterium
Lineage: Bacteria
Description: partial 16S ribosomal RNA
Rfam family: Bacterial small subunit ribosomal RNA
Source: RNAcentral